GAUUGAUGAAUUAAAUCCAGUAUCUAAAAAUCAUGAUGAUCGAUUUGGGAAUGGAACUGCAAGC
RNAcentral lists this unclassified non-coding RNA (64 nucleotides) under Methanococcoides burtonii DSM 6242. The record is from RNAcentral. Lineage: Archaea; Methanobacteriati; Methanobacteriota; Methanomicrobia; Methanosarcinales; Methanosarcinaceae.